Molecule: ribosomal RNA, 461 nt
Filed under: uncultured bacterium
Lineage: Bacteria
Description: bacterial SSU rRNA
Rfam family: Bacterial small subunit ribosomal RNA
Source: RNAcentral
AUACGGAAGGCAGCAGUGGGGAAUUGUUCGCAAUGGGCGCAAGCCUGACGACGCAACGCCGCGUGGAGGACGAAGAUCUUCGGGUCGUAAACUCCUGUCGAGCGGGACGAACACCUGUCCGGUGAACAAUCGGAGAGGCUGACGGUACCGCUAAAGGAAGCCCCGGCUAACUCCGUGCCAGCAGCCGCGGUAAUACGGGGGGGGCAAGCGUUGUUCGGAAUUACUGGGCGUAAAGGGCUCGUAGGCGGCCAACUAAGUCGGACGUGAAAUCCCCAGGCUCAACUUGGGAACUGCGUCCGAUACUGGAUGGCUUGAAUUCGGGAGAGGGAUGCAGAAUUCCAGGUGUAGCGGUGAAAUGCGUAGAUAUCUGGAGGAAUACCGGUGGCGAAGGCGGCAUCCUGGACCGAUAUUGACGCUGAUGAGCGAAAGCCAGGGGAGCAAACGGGAUUAGAUACCCCGGU